This 462-nucleotide ribosomal RNA is filed under the name Molops piceus. RNAcentral describes it as "bacterial SSU rRNA". It matches the Rfam family "Eukaryotic small subunit ribosomal RNA", at positions 1172 to 1489 of the family's 1831-position model. Lineage: Eukaryota; Metazoa; Arthropoda; Insecta; Coleoptera; Carabidae. The record is from RNAcentral.
AGGAGUGGAGCCUGCGGCUUAAUUUGACUCAACACGGGAAACCUCACCAGGCCCAGACACUGGAAGGAUUGACAGAUUGAGAGCUCUUUCUUGAUUCAGUGGGUGGUGGUGCAUGGCCGUUCUUAGUUGGUGGAGCGAUUUGUCUGGUUAAUUCCGAUAACGAACGAGACUCUAGCCUACUAAAUAGACGUUACACUUUCCAGUAUCUCGAAGGCUCACAUCUUUCGUUUCUUCUUAUAUUCCCAAUUAUUCUAUACCCAUAUCGAGAGAUGUUUUAUUCCAUUUCGGUGGUUUAUAUUCUAUUUAUCAUGUGGAUUAGGUUUUUGGUGUUUUAUAGGGGUACGGGAGUUUGUGGUUUUUACUACUGGCGUACAUAUAAAUCUUCUUAGAGGGACAGGCGGCUUCUAGCCGCACGAGAUUGAGCAAUAACAGGUCUGUGAUGCCCUUAGAUGUUCUGGGCCG